RNAcentral lists this ribosomal RNA (462 nucleotides) under uncultured Desulfobacula sp. Its description in RNAcentral is "bacterial SSU rRNA". It matches the Rfam family "Bacterial small subunit ribosomal RNA", at positions 342 to 795 of the family's 1533-position model. The record is from RNAcentral. Lineage: Bacteria; Pseudomonadati; Thermodesulfobacteriota; Desulfobacteria; Desulfobacterales; Desulfobacteraceae.
CGGGGGGCUGCAGUGAGGAAUUUUGCGCAAUGGGGGCAACCCUGACGCAGCAACGCCGCGUGAGUGAAGAAGGCCUUUGGGUCGUAAAGCUCUGUCGACAGGGAAGAAGUUAACAUUAUCCAAUAGGUAGUGUUAUUGACGGUACCUGUAGAGGAAGCACCGGCUAACUCCGUGCCAGCAGCCGCGGUAAUACGGGGGGUGCAAGCGUUAUUCGGAAUUAUUGGGCGUAAAGGGCGCGUAGGCGGUCUUGUCGGUCAGAUGUGAAAGCCCGGGGCUCAACCCUGGAAGUGCAUUUGAAACAGCAAGACUUGAGUACGGGAGAGGAAAGCGGAAUUCCUGGUGUAGAGGUGAAAUUCGUAGAUAUCAGGAGGAACACCGAUGGCGAAGGCAGCUUUCUGGACCGAUACUGACGCUGAGGCGCGAAGGCGUGGGUAGCGAACGGGAUUAGAUACCCCAGUAGUC